Vicia villosa (hairy vetch) is the source of this 449-nucleotide long non-coding RNA. RefSeq lists it as uncharacterized. Lineage: Eukaryota; Viridiplantae; Streptophyta; Magnoliopsida; Fabales; Fabaceae. The record is from RefSeq and is a predicted model, not a curated record. The transcript is spliced from 5 exons.
CAGGCUCUGAGUGAGGAGUUAAGCAGAAAAGCUGCCUCGUUAGUGCUGGAAAAUGAAAAUCUAAAGAGAAAGAAGGAGCUGGCUUUGAAAGAGUAUCGGUCUUUAGAGACUACAAAUAAGAUUUUAAAAGCACAAUGAGAGUUGUUUGGCAGAGUGGCUGCGGCAAACAGGCUAUAUGUUUGAAGAGAAAAUGCAGUGUCACUAGAAGUGAGGAUUGAUGUGGAAGCUUUUUAAAUCUCAGAAAGAAGGGAUUGUGUACACUUUGAAAGAACCCAUGCAUCUAACACUAAAGAUAGGCCUAGCAAAUAAUCUUGUCCCAAGGAAUGAUUAAAUGAAUUGAAGGAAAUGGGAGAAAAGGAUUAUGAAGCUUAUGAAAUAUAACUCUUGUUUUAUAGUGAUUGUGCUUGCUUGGUUGUGUUUGUGUUGGUGCUAUUAAAUUAAAACUGGUU